RNAcentral lists this ribosomal RNA (397 nucleotides) under uncultured bacterium. RNAcentral's name for it is "bacterial SSU rRNA". It matches the Rfam family "Bacterial small subunit ribosomal RNA", at positions 29 to 449 of the family's 1533-position model. The record is from RNAcentral.
AGCGAACGCUGGCGGCAGGCUUAACACAUGCAAGUCGAACGCCCCGCAAGGGGAGUGGCAGACGGGUGAGUAACACGUGGGAACGUGCCCUUGGUUCGGAAUAACUCAGGGAAACUUGAGCUAAUACCGGAUACGCCCUGGAGCAAUCCGGGGGAAAGAUUUAUCGUCGAAGGAUCGGCCCGCGUCUGAUUAGCUAGUUGGUGAGGUAACGGCUCACCAAGGCGACGAUCAGUAGCGGUCUGAGAGGAUGAUCAGCCACACUGGGACUGAGACACGGCCCAGACUCCUACGGGAGGCAGCAGUGGGGAAUAUUGGACAAUGGGCGCAAGCCUGAUCCAGCCAUGCCGCGUGAGUGAUGAAGGCCCUAGGGUUGUAAAGCUCUUUUGUGCGGGACGAU